RNAcentral lists this ribosomal RNA (497 nucleotides) under uncultured bacterium. RNAcentral's name for it is "partial 16S ribosomal RNA". It matches the Rfam family "Bacterial small subunit ribosomal RNA", at positions 28 to 507 of the family's 1533-position model. The record is from RNAcentral.
GAUGAACGCUGGCGGCGUGCCUAAUACAUGCAAGUCGAGCGAACAGACGAGGAGCUUGCUCCUCUGACGUUAGCGGCGGACGGGUGAGUAACACGUGGAUAACCUACCUAUAAGACUGGGAUAACUUCGGGAAACCGGAGCUAAUACCGGAUAAUAUAUUGAACCGCAUGGUUCAAUAGUGAAAGACGGUUUUGCUGUCACUUAUAGAUGGAUCCGCGCCGCAUUAGCUAGUUGGUAAGGUAACGGCUUACCAAGGCAACGAUGCGUAGCCGACCUGAGAGGGGGAUCGGCCACACUGGAACUGAGACACGGUCCAGACUCCUACGGGAGGCAGCAGUAGGGAAUCUUCCGCAAAGGGCGAAAGCCUGACGGAGCAACGCCGCGUGAGUGAUGAAGGUCUUCGGAUCGUAAAACUCUGUUAUGAGGGAAGAACAAAUGUGUAAGUAACUAUGCACGUCUUGACGGUACCUAAUCAGAAAGCCACGGCUAACUACGUG